GUGAGGAAUAUUGGUCAAUGGGCGAGAGCCUGAACCAGCCAAGUCGCGUGAAGGAAGAAGGAUCUAUGGUUCGUAAACUUCUUUUGCAGGGGAAUAAAGUGCGGGACGUGUCCUGUUUUGUAUGUACCCUGAGAAUAAGGAUCGGCUAACUCCGUGCCAGCAGCCGCGGUAAUACGGAGGAUCCGAGCGUUAUCCGGAUUUAUUGGGUUUAAAGGGUGCGUAGGUGGUUUGAUAAGUCAGCGGUGAAAGUUUGCAGCUUAACUGUAAAAAUGCCGUUGAAACUGUCGGACUGGAGUGUAAAUGAGGUAGGCGGAAUGCGUGGUGUAGCGGUGAAAUGCAUAGAUAUCACGCAGAACUCCGAUUGCGAAGGCAGCUUACUAAGCUACAACUGACACUGAAGCACGAAAGCGUGGGGAUCAAACAGGAUUAGAUACCCCAGUAGUCC
This 445-nucleotide ribosomal RNA is filed under the name uncultured bacterium. RNAcentral's name for it is "partial 16S ribosomal RNA". It matches the Rfam family "Bacterial small subunit ribosomal RNA", at positions 354 to 796 of the family's 1533-position model. The record is from RNAcentral.